This 2003-nucleotide unclassified non-coding RNA is filed under the name Dendronephthya gigantea. RNAcentral describes it as "ankyrin repeat domain-containing protein 29-like, transcript variant X4". Lineage: Eukaryota; Metazoa; Cnidaria; Anthozoa; Malacalcyonacea; Nephtheidae. The record is from RNAcentral.
UCUAAUUUAUUCCAAGCCCCGACGCUGGAACGCAAAAUAUCAAAAUUUUCUUUGAUCUUGGCCGCCCAGCCUUAGCGUGACCGAUAUUACACGGAUGUAGCAAAUAUUUACGUAUUUGCAUGCUACAUCCGUACCUUGUCAGACCUUAAUGAAGUUAUUCGAUUUUAUUUUGCAAAUUGUGACUAUACUAUAUCUACAUUGCAAUGGCUGAGUAAAAUCCAUUUGGCCCAAGAUCACUGUUAAGACAGAAAGAAUGUCUACAGAACAGGUAGCCAAAUUAACUAUGCAGGAACAAUUUCGUGUGGGAAUUACCUCUGGUCAGCUAGAUGUUGUUGAAAAAAUCAUAGAUACAACGCCAUCACUGCUGCAUUGUAUUGACAAAAAUGGUACUACACCUUUAAUUUUGUGUGCAGCUUAUGGUCAUAUUGAUGUAUUGAAGUACUUAAUUAAACAAGGAGCUAGCGUUGAACAGCGAAGAAAGACUGGUAAGACAGCUUUGUUUUUCGCGGCACAAGCUGGACAUCUGGCUGUUGUUCAGGAACUUCUAAGAAAUGGAGCAAGCAUUGAUUAUGGUGCUAACAUAAAGGAAGCGGCAACGUCGUUGUUUAUUGCCUCACAAUGUGGUUGUGUUGACAUUGUUACCGAAAUGGCUUCGUUUAGGCCUGCACUAAAUGCAUCAAUACAGGAUGGUGCAACUCCGUUAUUUGUUGCUUCUCAAAAUGGACACACCGGAGUUAUUUUGCGUCUGCUCAACAGUGGGGCAUCUGUGAAUAGAUGUCGCAAGGAUAAAACGAGUCCACUAUGGAUAGCUUGCCAGAUGGGGCAUAGUGACGUUGUAAAGUUACUUCUUUAUGCAGGAGCGUCCAUCGAUCUGAGCAGAGAGGAUGGUUCAACUCCGUUGUUCAAGGCCUGUCAUAAAGGUCAUGUUCGUGUCGUUGAACAUUUGCUUAAUCACCAUAUUAAACCUGACCUUGGUUUGUUGAAGAAUGGACAAAGUGCGUUGCACGGGGCAUGUCUCUUUGGUCAUUUGAACAUCGUGAAAUUGUUAGUUCAAGCAGGUGCUCAAGUUAAUAUUCGAAAUCAAGAUGAACAUGUUUUACCUUGAACUGCUUGUAAUGAAUGUCCUGAUUUUAUUUGCCUCAAAUGAAGUAAAGAGUGUGGAUAUUCAAACAGGCGGCUAUGACCCUGGCUCUUGUAGCAAAUCGGAAAGUGGUUCAUUAAAAUUGAUUAAAAAUCGCUUGAACUUUGACAAACUGUUAAUUUGCACCGAGCAAAAUGGAGUUUUUGGUUGGAAAACAACGGACGGUUCUAAUCCCUUUGGCGAAUAUUUCAACCCCGGAUACGACUGUACGGAUAUUCUGAAUAAGAAUUUUGAAGCUAGAGAUGGAUUUUAUUGGAUACAUUUGAAUCAGAGUGUUCCCAGGAGGGUCUAUUGUGACAUGACUACAGACGGAGGGGGAUUUGCGCUAAUUGGUAAACUCGAUAGUUCUGUCACAUGGAAUGCUCCAUCCAGAAACACAACAGUUGAUCCGUUUGGUGAAGCUCAGUGGUCAAGUGAUCUCGGUGACGUUCAAGUUCUUGACUUCAGAAUACAAGUGUCGGCAGAAGAAAAUUUGAUUAAAUCAAAUGCUCACUGGUCCUACAGACUGCGAAAUACACGUCCUCUUAAGAACAUAAUGAUCAUUAAUCAGGGGGGUUGUGGCGCAUCAUCACCAGGCAUUGGUGACAUCGAUUACGUCAAAGACCUCCGGACCGAGAAAAUUGUUACGACGAAAUUCCGUUGCUCACAAUUUGGACUGAAUGUGCAUUAUCGUAUUUCUCUAACGAUAGGAUGGGCAAUGAUAAAUGAAUGCUUCAAAAAACAAUGUCCUUAUGGUUUUACUUUCAACCAAAGAUUUCGUAAUCGAAUGACCACGUCAGGAUCUUUUAGCUACAGCGUGGUAAGCAGUACAUCAGGAAUACGUCAUAAUUCAACCGCAUUCAUCGGCUGUAACAAUACAGUG